GCCCCUGUAGCUCAACUGGACAGAGCGAACGGCUUCUAUCCGUUAGGUUGGGGGUUCGAGUCCCUCCAGGGGCGCCA
Molecule: transfer RNA, 77 nt
Filed under: bacterium
Lineage: Bacteria
Description: tRNA-Arg
Rfam family: tRNA
About the family: Transfer RNA (tRNA) molecules are approximately 80 nucleotides in length.
Source: RNAcentral